This 258-nucleotide ribosomal RNA is filed under the name uncultured bacterium. Its description in RNAcentral is "partial 16S ribosomal RNA". It matches the Rfam family "Bacterial small subunit ribosomal RNA", at positions 96 to 354 of the family's 1533-position model. The record is from RNAcentral.
UGGCGGACGGGUGAGUAACGCGUGGAAAACCUGCCGUAUACUGGGGGAUAACACUUAGAAAUAGGUGCUAAUACCGCAUAAGCGCACAGCUUCGCAUGAAGCGGUGUGAAAAACUCUGGUGGUAUACGAUGGUUCCGCGUCUGAUUAGCUAGUUGGUGGGGUAAUGGCCUACCAAGGCAACAAUCAGUAGCCGGCCUGAGAGGGUGAACGGCCACAUUGGGACUGAGACACGGCCCAAACUCCUACGGAAGGCAGCAG